Molecule: ribosomal RNA, 467 nt
Filed under: uncultured bacterium
Lineage: Bacteria
Description: partial 16S ribosomal RNA
Rfam family: Bacterial small subunit ribosomal RNA
Source: RNAcentral
GACGAACGCUGGCGGCGUGCUUAACACAUGCAAGUCGAACGGAAAGGCCCUGCUUUUGUGGGGUGCUCGAGUGGCGAACGGGUGAGUAACACGUGAGUAACCUGCCCUUGACUUUGGGAUAACUUCAGGAAACUGGGGCUAAUACCGGAUAGGAGCUCCUGCUGCAUGGUGGGGGUUGGAAAGUUUCGGCGGUUGGGGAUGGACUCGCGGCUUAUCAGCUUGUUGGUGGGGUAGUGGCUUACCAAGGCUUUGACGGGUAGCCGGCCUGAGAGGGUGACCGGCACAAUUGGGACUGGAAUCCGGCCCAAACCCCUACGGGGGGCAGCGGUGGGGAAUUUGGCACAAGGGGGGGAAGCCGGAUGCAGCAACGCCGGGGGGGGGAUGACGGCCUUCGGGUUGAAAACCGCUUUCGCCUGUGACGAAGGGUGGGUGACGGUAAUGGGUAAAGAAGCACCGGCUAACUACGU